GGGCCCGCACAAGCGGUGGAGCAUGUGGUUUAAUUCGAUGAUACGCGAGGAACCUUACCAGGACUUAAAUGUAAGUUGCAUGAUUCAGAAAUGAAUCUUUCUUCGGACUACUUACAAGGUGCUGCAUGGUUGUCGUCAGCUCGUGCCGUGAGGUGUCAGGUUAAGUCCUAUAACGAGCGCAACCCCUAUCGUUAGUUGCCAUCAAGUAAAGUUGGGAACUCUAGCGAAACUGCCGGUGCAAACCGAGAGGAAGGUGGGGAUGACGUCAAAUCAUCACGGCCCUUACGUUCUGGGCUACACACGUGCUACAAUGGUCGGUACAGAAAGCAGCCACUAUGCGAAUAGGAGCUAAUCUUUAAAACCGAUCUCAGUUCGGAUAGGAGUCUGCAACUCGACUCCUUGAAGUUGGAGUCGCUAGUAAUCGCAAAU
RNAcentral lists this ribosomal RNA (429 nucleotides) under uncultured bacterium. RNAcentral's name for it is "bacterial SSU rRNA". It matches the Rfam family "Bacterial small subunit ribosomal RNA", at positions 917 to 1349 of the family's 1533-position model. The record is from RNAcentral.